UACGUAGGGUGCGAGCGUUAUUCGGAAUUACUGGGCGUAAAGCGUGCGUAGGCGGUUUUGUAAGUCAGAUGUGAAAUCUCCGGGCUUAACCUGGGAAUGGCAUUUGGGACUGCAAGGCUUGAGUGCGGCAGAGGAGACUAGAAUUCCUGGUGUAGCAGUGAAAUGCGUAGAUAUCAGGAGGAAUACCGAUGGCGAAGGCAGGUCUCUGGGCUGACACUGACGCUCAUGCACGAAAGCGUGGGGAGCAAACAGG
Molecule: ribosomal RNA, 253 nt
Filed under: uncultured bacterium
Lineage: Bacteria
Description: partial 16S ribosomal RNA
Rfam family: Bacterial small subunit ribosomal RNA
Source: RNAcentral